Long non-coding RNA from Cryptotermes secundus, 1062 nucleotides. RefSeq lists it as uncharacterized. The transcript is spliced from 4 exons. Lineage: Eukaryota; Metazoa; Arthropoda; Insecta; Blattodea; Kalotermitidae. The record is from RefSeq and is a predicted model, not a curated record.
GCGCUACUCACGGGAGAACAUGUAACUACACUUCUAGCGCGAUUUUUUCUCCCUGACGGUUAUGUGCGCGGCCGAACUUAGUACACGAUUCGCCGACGGUGUAACGGCCCUGAAAAACACUUGUGAAGUUCAGCCACGUGUAAAUUUCGUGCCACGGCGAAACUCAGUGUUCGCUUCAGUUUGCAAAUCUGCUGUCAAGAUGGAAGCGUAUUGCAGGGUUCGUAUUUUCGUCCAGUGAAUUAGAAUGAACGAAGUGAGAGCAACAACACGUAACCUCAAGAACUGGUUUCGUGUCCAGAUUGCCUCAGAAAUUGCAGACUAACCAAGUUGGUAGAGCCAUGUGACGAACGGAAGAUAUAUGUAGGGUGCAACGACGGAAGCGAGAAGAACGGAAUCUUUCUGAAAGGGUGGAGCAGACUAAGAUUCAUAUGAAAUUCUUCGGUUAUGAGACUGGAGAAUUGGUCAAUGAGGGCAGAUACAUCUCCAAGGCCAUAGGAAAGACACACAAACGCCACUGAAGCGAUAAGGCAACAGCAACAUCCGUGGAUAUGGGUUCAGAAAAGAUAGUGUGUCGAAGGCCCGGGAUUAUUGGAACAGAGUGUGGAAUCAACAUUUCUCGCCUUCCAGGAGACUAAUACAAUAUAUGAACAUUGUGUGCAGCGCACAGGUGUGCUGACAAAUGGAAGCUGAGAAGCGGAAAUACUCGUAUAUACAUAAAAUUCGGAAACACUGAAUCUUCUAAUUUCCAGCCAUGGGAAGACAUCCGAGGAAGUGAUUCAGAAGACUAAACAGGCGCAGCUGAAGAAAUGUGAUAGGUUUUAAUUGGUAUGCAAAACUAGACAAUCCGUUACGAUGCUAACGUUUAUUGCAGUCUUGGAUGACACAAUGGUUUUGCAGAGCUGGUGUUCCGCUAUGAACAGACAUCAAAUUGUGUGAUAAUUUUGAAACAUGGGUCCCAAUCCUUCCUUGCUCUGAAAAGUAUUGGCAUUAUAUUCGUAGUAGGCUACUUUAUGAAUCUGUUAGUCAGACUUACAUUAUUUACAUUACAAUGAUGUUUAUGUA